This 295-nucleotide long non-coding RNA is filed under the name Cricetulus griseus (Chinese hamster). RNAcentral's name for it is "lncRNA (ENSCGRG00015030052.1)". The record is from RNAcentral. Lineage: Eukaryota; Metazoa; Chordata; Mammalia; Rodentia; Cricetidae.
CUUUUGUUCAUUCAGACAUACUAGCGAGGGAGCCAAGGGAAUAAUUGGGAGUCGCUGUGAAGCUGCGUCCAAGAGGCAGGAGGCGCUGGUGAUGGAAAAGUGUGGCCGCCUGCAGGAGCACCUGGAGAAGUUUGAGAACAUUCGGCAUCAUCUUCAGCGACUUCCAGCCCAGCAACCAGGGACAGCAGGAAGUUCCAAAUAUCCCAUCCUCCAGCCCCACUCACCAAGCUGCACAUGGAAACAGUGCAAGGUAAAACAGACAAGCUUUUCUUUAAUUCUUUUCCCUAUAGACUAG